AGGUAGAUGGUCUUUUUAAGGCAGAGUGGAAGUAGAAGGUGGAGGUAGAUGGUCUUUGUCAGGCAGGGUGGAGGUAGAUGGUCUUUUUCAGGCAGGGUGGAAGUAGAAGGUGGAGGUAGAUGGUCUUUGUCAGGCAGGGUGGAGGUAGAAGGUGGAGGUAGAUGGUCUUUUUCAGGCAGGGUGGAAGUAGAAGGUGGAGGUAGAUGGUCUUUGUCAGGCAGGGUGGAGGUAGAAGGUGGAGGUAGAUGGUCUUUGUCAGGCAGGGUGGAAGUAGAAGGUGGAGGUAGAUGGUCUUUGUCAGGCAGGGUGGAGGUAGAAGGUGGAGGUAGAUGGUCUUUGUCAGGCAGGGUGGCGGUAGAAGGUGGAGGUAGAUGGUCUUUGUCAGGCAGGGUGGAGGUAGAAGGUGGAGGUAGAUGGUCUUUGUCAGGCAGGGUGGAGGUAGAAGGUGGAGGUAGAUGGUCUUUGUCAGGCAGGGUGGAGGUAGAUGGUCUUUUUCAGGCAGGGUGGAGGUAGAAGGUGGAGGUAGAUGGUCUUUGUCAGGCAGGGUGGAGGUAGAAGGUGGAGGUAGAUGGUCUUUUUCAGGCAGGGUGGAGGUAGAAGGUGGAGGUAGAUGGUCUUUGUCAGUCAGGGUGGAGGUAGAUGGUGGAGGUAGAUGGUCUCUGGUUUCUCUGCAGACCGGUGUGAACUAGGUUCAUGUUUACUGCUGAGAUUUGGUUUGUUUUGUUUGUUUGGAAGGCGACGAUGAGGAGGAGGAGGAGGAAGGAACCUUCUGGAACAGGGUGGUCCCUGUCCAGACCAGGCCUGGGUCCUCCUGGUCUUGGUCACA
Molecule: long non-coding RNA, 826 nt
Organism: Melanotaenia boesemani (Boeseman's rainbowfish)
Lineage: Eukaryota; Metazoa; Chordata; Actinopteri; Atheriniformes; Melanotaeniidae
Exons: 5
Source: RefSeq, a predicted model, not a curated record